Molecule: small nucleolar RNA, 104 nt
Organism: Saimiri boliviensis boliviensis (Bolivian squirrel monkey)
Lineage: Eukaryota; Metazoa; Chordata; Mammalia; Primates; Cebidae
Product: small nucleolar RNA U13
Source: RefSeq, a predicted model, not a curated record
AUCAUUCUGUGGUUUGUAAGCAUGAUGACUGGGUUUUCAUGCUUACGUGGUAGAAGUGCCUUCCUCAAACUUUGUUACAUCAUUGGCACAUUAAACAUCUGAUG